This 456-nucleotide ribosomal RNA is filed under the name uncultured bacterium. RNAcentral's name for it is "bacterial SSU rRNA". It matches the Rfam family "Bacterial small subunit ribosomal RNA", at positions 8 to 469 of the family's 1533-position model. The record is from RNAcentral.
AGAGUUUGAUCCUGGCUCAGAUUGAACGCUGGCGGCAGGCCUAACACAUGCAAGUCGAACGGUAACAUUUCUAGCUUGCUAGAAGAUGACGAGUGGCGGACGGGUGAGUAAUGCUUGGGAACUUGCCUUUGCGAGGGGGAUAACAGUUGGAAACGACUGCUAAUACCGCAUAAUGUCUUCGGACCAAACGGGGCUUAGGCUCCGGCGCAAAGAGAGGCCCAAGUGAGAUUAGCUAGUUGGUAAGGUAAAGGCUUACCAAGGCAACGAUCUCUAGCUGUUCUGAGAGGAAGAUCAGCCACACUGGGACUGAGACACGGCCCAGACUCCUACGGGAGGCAGCAGUGGGGAAUAUUGCACAAUGGGGGAAACCCUGAUGCAGCCAUGCCGCGUGUGUGAAGAAGGCCUUCGGGUUGUAAAGCACUUUCAGUUGUGAGGAAAAGUUAGUAGUUAAUACCC